GUACCCUAGAAGUUCUCUUUGUGGAAGUUGAAGCGCGUGGACGAAUUUAAGCUAAAUUCUUGACACAACUUUUUGAGUGGUUUGCGGUUCUCAUUGAUGAUAAGAACUCUUUCUGUAGAAUACAGAACUACUGGGACUGCAAGAUACAUCCAUGUCUGCAUAUUAAAGGUUAACAAGUGUGAUAAGGUUAUCAAAAUGCAAGUGGACAUACCGUCUUUUUGUACCAUUCGUUGGUAAGGAAUAUGAAGCAGCCGUGGAGGAUCAAGAGCACGUA
This is a non-coding RNA of Solanum lycopersicum (tomato), 274 nucleotides long. NCBI's taxonomy places the organism in Eukaryota, Viridiplantae, Streptophyta, Magnoliopsida, Solanales, Solanaceae. The record is from RefSeq and is a predicted model, not a curated record.